AGAACGAACGCUGGCGGCAUGCCUAACACAUGCAAGUCGAACGAAGCCUUCGGGCUUAGUGGCGCACGGGUGCGUAACACGUGGGAAUCUGCCCUUAGGUACGGAAUAACUCAGGGAAACUUGAGCUAAUACCGUAUGAUGUCUUCGGACCAAAGAUUUAUCGCCUAAGGAUGAGCCCGCGUCGGAUUAGCUAGUUGGUGGGGUAAAGCCUACCGAAGGCGACGAUCCGUAGCUGGUCUGAGAGGAUGAUCAGCCACACGUGGGGCUGAGACACGGCCCAGACUCCGUACGGGAGCAGCGAGGUAGGGGAAUAGUUAGGACAAGUGGGACGAAACGCCUAGAUUCGAAGCAAGUCGACCGCGGUA
RNAcentral lists this ribosomal RNA (365 nucleotides) under uncultured soil bacterium. Its description in RNAcentral is "bacterial SSU rRNA". It matches the Rfam family "Bacterial small subunit ribosomal RNA", at positions 26 to 408 of the family's 1533-position model. The record is from RNAcentral.